Molecule: ribosomal RNA, 499 nt
Filed under: uncultured Proteiniphilum sp.
Lineage: Bacteria; Pseudomonadati; Bacteroidota; Bacteroidia; Bacteroidales; Dysgonomonadaceae
Description: bacterial SSU rRNA
Rfam family: Bacterial small subunit ribosomal RNA
Source: RNAcentral
UUGCCAGCCCGCUCAGAAACUCAAAGGAAUUGACGGGGCCCGCACAAGCGGAGGAACAUGUGGUUUAAUUCGAUGAUACGCGAGGAACUUACCCGGGCUUGAAAUGCAUCUGGCGUCCCGAGAGAUCGGGAUUUCCCACGGGACAGAUGCGUAGGUGCUGCAUGGUUGUCGUCAGCUCGUGCCGUGAGGUGUCGGCUUAAGUGCCAUAACGAGCGCAACCCCUACCGUUAGUUGCCAUCAGGUCAAGCUGGGGACUCUAACGGGACUGCCAUCGUAAGGUGCGAGGAAGGUGGGGAUGACGUCAAAUCAGCACGGCCCUUACGUCCGGGGCGACACACGUGUUACAAUGGGUGGUACAAAGGGCAGCUACAUGGCGACAUGGUGCCAAUCUCCAAAACCACUCUCAGUUCGGAUCGGAGUCUGCAACUCGACUCCGUGAAGCUGGAUUCGCUAGUAAUCGCGCAUCAGCCACGGCGCGGUGAAUACGUUCCCGGGCCUU